This 253-nucleotide ribosomal RNA is filed under the name uncultured bacterium. Its description in RNAcentral is "partial 16S ribosomal RNA". It matches the Rfam family "Bacterial small subunit ribosomal RNA", at positions 524 to 776 of the family's 1533-position model. The record is from RNAcentral.
UACGGAGGGUGCAAGCGUUGUCCGGAAUCACUGGGCGUAAAGGGCGCGUAGGCGGCUCAUGAAGGCUGUGGUGAAAGUCCGGGGCUCAACCUCGGAUCGGCCGUGGCGACUCGUGGGCUGGAGCACUGUAGAGGCGGGUGGAAUUCCGGGUGUAGCGGUGGAAUGCGUAGAGAUCCGGAAGAACACCAGUGGCGAAGGCGGCUUUCUGGUCUGUAACUGACGCUGAGGCGCGAAAGCGUGGGGAGCAAACAGG